This 492-nucleotide ribosomal RNA is filed under the name uncultured bacterium. Its description in RNAcentral is "partial 16S ribosomal RNA". It matches the Rfam family "Bacterial small subunit ribosomal RNA", at positions 29 to 507 of the family's 1533-position model. The record is from RNAcentral.
AGUGAACGCUGGCGGUAGGCCUAACACAUGCAAGUCGAACGGCAGCACAGUAAGAGCUUGCUCUUACGGGUGGCGAGUGGCGGACGGGUGAGGAAUACAUCGGAAUCUACUUUUUCGUGGGGGAUAACGUAGGGAAACUUACGCUAAUACCGCAUACGACCUACGGGUGAAAGCAGGGGAUCUUCGGACCUUGCGCGAUUGAAUGAGCCGAUGUCGGAUUAGCUAGUUGGCGGGGUAAAGGCCCACCAAGGCGACGAUCCGUAGCUGGUCUUAGAGGAUGAUCAGCCGCACUGGAACUGAGACACGGUCCAGACUCCUACGGGAGGCAGCAGUGGGGAAUAUUGGACAAUGGGCGCAAGCCUGAUCCAGCCAUACCGCGUGGGUGAAGAAGGCCUUCGGGUUGUAAAGCCCUUUUGUUGGGAGAGAAAAGCAGCAGGUUAAUACCCCGCUGUUCUGACGGUACCCAAAGAAUAAGCACCGGCUAACUUCGUG